Molecule: long non-coding RNA, 1122 nt
Filed under: Heterocephalus glaber (naked mole-rat)
Lineage: Eukaryota; Metazoa; Chordata; Mammalia; Rodentia; Bathyergidae
Description: lncRNA (ENSHGLG00100040621.1)
Source: RNAcentral
GACUUGUGGAAGUGGAAAAGCACUGGUGAGGGCAGUCUCUGAAAUCAUUUACUCCAGUGUACAAGUCAGCUCUCAGCGGUCCUGGCCUCUCCCAGGAGGCUGUGCGGCCGGCAGGAUGGAUCUUUAGCAUCUCCUACUCCUGGGCUGGCCUGUUCCUUGCCCUGGGUCCUCCCAAUGUGUUGAAUGCCUCAGCUGUCCAGAGGAGCACCACACCCAGGCCUGCCCUCCUCGGAAUGUGGCUGUGACCCGAGAGCAAUGUUUCUGCCCAUCUUUCUGUUUACUUCUCCUAAGCCUCGGUGACCUUAGCAGGAGGCUGAGGUGGGAGAACCACUUGAGCUCGUGAGUUUGACUGCAGCCUGGAGAACACGUACUGGAGAUUGAACCUACCCAGCGCUAGGCAGGCUCUGUGCCACUGAGCUACAUCCCUGACCCCUGCAACACACCCAUAUUUUAAAAAAUGGGCACAGGACUUGAACAGACAUUACUCCAAGUGGCAGGCGAAAACAGUAAGAGGUGGUUUGAUUCUUCCAUUUUGACUCUAGACCACAAACAAUAAAGACUUCCAAGUCUCCUUGGAUCCGUGUAACAGAAAAUUGUUCGAUGUGGUGGGCAGAAGGCCCGGAAGCUGUGGCUGGCCUGGGAGAGUGACUGGCCCGAGCUUCCCCUCCGACCACCCUGCAGAAGAGAAGUCACCGUCCCUGCAUGGCAGAGCUGUGUUACUACCAAACACAAGUGCGAGGAAGGCUUUUUCUCUGCCAGGGUAACUGCACGGAGCCUUCACUUCUCCCUGCCGUGGACAGCCAGCCGGCCAGGCUCCUCGGAGCUCUCAGUUCGGCCUUGACCUUGGCCCCUGUCCUCGCUAACCGGGUGUGACCCAAGUUUUAGCAAGAAUCUGAUCGAGCUCCAUCUCUCCCCUGUUGUGAUGCUCCUAUUCCAAGAGCCCCAAAUAAAGUCAUCGUUAUUUAACAAGUGUCAAAUUAAUUUUUGAAUACAUUUCAGCAGGAAGCUUAGAGGUUUUAAAAUUUUUUUAGCAUUGCAGAAGCAACAGUUGGGGGAGUGGGUCAUAGUUACUGGCAUAGUAGCCAAUAAUCUAGCCAACCAUUGAACUGUGUUCUGGUAAAU